This 1610-nucleotide long non-coding RNA is filed under the name Olea europaea subsp. europaea. The record is from RNAcentral. Lineage: Eukaryota; Viridiplantae; Streptophyta; Magnoliopsida; Lamiales; Oleaceae.
CUCGCAUUGGUUGCGCUCUUUGACUGGGAACUUGAACAACUCGAUGUAAAAACCGCUUUUUUAUAUGAAGAGCUUGAUGAACAAAUCUUUAUAAAUCAACCAAAAGGCUUUAAAGACAAGUUAAAACCUGAUUAUGUGUGUUUUCUGAAAAGAUCCCUAUAUGGUCUAAAGCAAUCACCUAGACAGUGGUACAAGAGGUUUGAUUCCUUUGUACUCACUAUAGGAUUUCAAAGAAGUAAAUUCGAUCACUGCCUAUUCUUUCAACACAACGAGACUGAUAACAAUUAUUUGUUCUUGUUGCUCUAUGUGGACGACAUGCUUUUAGUUGGAUCAUCUCCUAAGUGGAUAAACAAUAUAAAAGCAGAUCUUAGUGGAAAAUUUGACAUGAAAGACCUAGGAAAUGCUAAAAGAAUUAUAGGCAUGGAAAUAGAACGAAAUAUGUCAAAUUCCAUCGUAUUCUUGCAUCAGUCUCCAUACAUAUCAAAGGUGUUGAAAAGGUUUGAUAUGAGUGACUGCAAACCUGUCACGUUGCCUCUUGCAAACCAUUUUGUUCUAUCUAAAGAGCAAACUCCCUGCAAUAAACAUGAAGUGGAAUACAUGAGUAAAAUUCCAUACUCAAAUGUGAUUAGUUCCAUAAUAUAUUUGAUGGUUUGCAUUAGACCGGACUUAGGAUUCGCUGUUAGUACUCUCUGUAGGUACAUGUCUAAUCCAGGUCCUGAACAUUGGAAAGCAUUAAAGUGGCUUUUAAGAUAUUUGAAGGGUACAAGUGACGUAGAUCUAAAAUUUAGUGCUAAUAAGGAAGGAGUGAAAUUAAAGGGUUUUGUAGAUGCUGACUAUGCAGGAGAUAAGGAUGGUAGAAAAUCAACUUCCUCUUACGUAUUCACCUUAUCAAAUUCGUGUGUUAGUUGGAAAUCACAGUUACAACACAUAGUUGCACUAUGCACUACAGAGUCAGAAUAUAUUGCCACCACUGAAGCAAUUAAAGAGGCUCUAUGGCUUAGAGGUCUACUUCAUGAACUGAGUGUCUUGAAUGAGUAUGUGGUUGUGUAUUCUGAUAGUCAGUCAUCCAUACAUCUGUGUAAGAAUCCUGUUUUUCACGAACGCACUAAACAUAUCGAUGUUAGGUUACACUUCAUUAGGGAUAUAAUAUCACAAGAAGUAGUAAGACUUGAAAAAAUUCACACACAAUAUAAUCCUUCAGAUAUGGGCACGAAAGUGCUGCCACUGGUAAAGUUUAGAAGUUGCAAGGAGCUUCUAAACAUCGGUACAGGUAAAUGAUUUUCAAUUUUAUCGAUUUUCUGUUAGAGGUGUCACUAAUGGAAAACGUUUUUCUUUGCAGGUCCUUUGACACCAAGGUGGAGGUUGUUAGACAUCAUGUUGUCAAACGACUUUCCGGGCGAUGAUGAAAAUCAGUUUUAUCAAUCGACAUGAAUGACUGAACGAUAAAUCAACACCGAAUAAUGGGAUGACCCGACCUAGCGUUGCUUUACCUAUUGGAGGGCUAAUAAUCUUUGUGGCUUGUUGGUGUGCUAUUGGGACUUAACCCUAGUCGAGCCUACUUACCAUAUUGUGACUUACCUUAAGUUGGCCAUUGGACUAUUAUAAAUUGG